Long non-coding RNA from Ochotona curzoniae (black-lipped pika), 277 nucleotides. RefSeq lists it as uncharacterized. The record is from RefSeq and is a predicted model, not a curated record. Lineage: Eukaryota; Metazoa; Chordata; Mammalia; Lagomorpha; Ochotonidae. The transcript is spliced from 2 exons.
GGCUUUGGAGGGCUCUGUCCCGCGGUCGGCUGGGGCCAUGGGGAGCUCUGCUUUCCGUGCCACGUGGAUCCGGGCGAGUCCUAGCCUUAAGCAUCCGCCCCCACGAGCCCUUCCUCUGGGGGGAGAAGCCAGAAGAGCUAUCUUACCUAGUUCUGUGCCAAGGUUCCUUCACAGCUAGCAACUCUACCUUCUGCUUGGCCCUCACCCCAGAUACCAUCCUGGAUCACCAGAGUUUACAACCUAAUGGUUGGGAAGCAAGAAUUUUCUUUCCUUCUUA